RNAcentral lists this long non-coding RNA (496 nucleotides) under Physcomitrium patens. Its description in RNAcentral is "long non-coding RNA (PPAT_LNC009739)". The record is from RNAcentral. Lineage: Eukaryota; Viridiplantae; Streptophyta; Bryopsida; Funariales; Funariaceae.
AAGCUUGAAAUAGCAUCCUCUUUAAAAACUAAAGUAAGCUCUAUAUAUGCCUCUUAAUAAUGUUCUAUUUUACACAACUUAAGUGAGUAUUCUUCACUCUAUUUUCUAUAGAUUUGGAUCACCUUUUAUUCCAAGUCUUAUACUAAAAGCUCAAAAGUAUACCAUUCAUUAAAAGUAGAAGACCUUUGAUAUUUGUUUUUAUCUACGUUUGAAACCUAAGUCUCCAAUCUCACAAAGAAAUGCCUCUAAUUAUUUCUAAGAAUCUAUCCUUCACAAUAUUAUCGAGAUUCUCUAGCAUCUUAUAAAAUAUAUCUAUCUUUGGAAUUCAAAGCCCCCAAGUAGUAUCUAACAUUAAGCAAGUUAAAAAGCCUUGUUAGUAUCCACAUCUAUCUCAAAGUCCUUAGUAUAGUUACUAUCCAAAUAGUCUAAUAAAGCAGAUUGAUAAUAUUGACUCCUAAUAUACAUCAUAAAAAAGACUACUUUGAUACUUGCAAUU